GAGGGUGUAGCUCAGGUGGUAGAGCGCAUGCUUAGCAUGCACAAAAGGUCCUGGGUUCAAUCCCCAGUACCUCCU
RNAcentral lists this transfer RNA (75 nucleotides) under Camelus bactrianus (Bactrian camel). It matches the Rfam family "tRNA". Rfam says of the family: Transfer RNA (tRNA) molecules are approximately 80 nucleotides in length. RNAcentral also lists the same sequence under 2 other names. Lineage: Eukaryota; Metazoa; Chordata; Mammalia; Artiodactyla; Camelidae. The record is from Rfam by way of RNAcentral.